RNAcentral lists this ribosomal RNA (407 nucleotides) under uncultured bacterium. RNAcentral's name for it is "partial 16S ribosomal RNA". It matches the Rfam family "Bacterial small subunit ribosomal RNA", at positions 30 to 526 of the family's 1533-position model. The record is from RNAcentral.
AUUGAACGCUGGCGGCAGGCCUAACACAUGCAAGUCGAGCGGAACGGCGGACGGACGGGUAAUGCCUAGGAAUCUGCCUGGUAGUGGGGGAGAACGACCGGAAACGGGCGCUAAUACCGCAUACUAUCAGAUGAGCCUAGGGCGGAUUAGCUAGUUGGUGGGGUAAAGGCCUACCCAGGCGACGAUCCGUAACUGGUCUGAGAGGAUGAUCAGUCACACUGGAAUUGAGACACGGUCCAGACUCCUACGGGAGGCAGCAGUGGGGAAUAUUGGACAAUGGGCGAAAGCCUGAUCCAGCCAUGCCGCGUGUGUGAAGAAGGUCUUCGGAUUGUAAAGCACUUUAAGUUGGAAGGCGUUACCAACAGAAUAAGCACCGGCUAACUUCGUGCCAGCAGCCGCGGUAAUUC